Molecule: ribosomal RNA, 398 nt
Filed under: Stramenopiles sp. MAST-12
Lineage: Eukaryota
Description: partial small subunit ribosomal RNA
Rfam family: Eukaryotic small subunit ribosomal RNA
Source: RNAcentral
AUUCCAGCUCCAAUAGCGUAUAUUAAUGUUGUUGCAGUUAAAAAGCUCGUAGUUGAAUUUCUGAGUUUAUGUUUUUAUGGUCCGAAUUCUUUGAAUUUGUGUAUCUAAUCUAUUAUAACUCAUCUUAAAAGUAAAUAUAACUGGUUUUCAUUAAUCGGUUAUAGGAGCUUUUUCGUUUACCGUGAAUAAAAUAGAGUGUUCAAAGCAGGCAUUACGCCUUGAAUACUUCAGCGUGGAAUAAAAAUAUAGGACUUUGGUGCUACUUUAUUGGUUUGCACACCUAAGUAAUGAUUAAUAGGGAUAGUUGGGGGUAUUCAUAUUUGAUUGUCAGAGGUGAAAUUCUUGGAUUUCUGAAAGAUGAACUUAUGCGAAAGCAUUUACCAAGGAUGUUUUCAUCA